GAAGGCGGCAAGGUUUGUGCAUUGCCUACAGCAGGUGAAACAGUUUGCAUACUAGAAGCUGAGCCAGUUGGAGGGAUCCCUGAAGCAGUGGAAGGCUGCAAGGUUUGUGCAUUGACUGCAGCAAGUGAAACAGUUUGCAUAGUAGAAGUUGAGCUACUUGAAGGGAUCCCUGAAGCAGUAGAACGCUGCAAAGUUUGUGCAUUGACUACAGCAGGUGAAACAGUUUGCAUAGUAGAAGUUGAGCCAGUUGAAGGGAUCCCUGAAGCAGUAGAACGCUGCAAGGUUUGUGCAUUGACUACAGCAGGUGAAACAGUUUGCAUAGUAGAAGCUGAGCCAGUUGAAGGAAUCCCUGAAGCAGUAGAAAGCUGCAAUGUUUGCGCAUUGACUACAGCAGGUGAAACAAUUUGCAUAGUAGAAGCUGAGCCAGUUGAAGGGAUCCCUGAAGCAGUAGAACGCUGCAAUAUUUGUGCAUUAACUACAGCGGGUGAAACAGUUUGCAUACUAGAAGCUGAGCCAGUUGAAGGGAG
RNAcentral lists this long non-coding RNA (527 nucleotides) under Gossypium raimondii (Peruvian cotton). RNAcentral describes it as "long non-coding RNA (GRAI_LNC006926)". The record is from RNAcentral. Lineage: Eukaryota; Viridiplantae; Streptophyta; Magnoliopsida; Malvales; Malvaceae.